This 333-nucleotide ribosomal RNA is filed under the name uncultured bacterium. RNAcentral describes it as "bacterial SSU rRNA". It matches the Rfam family "Bacterial small subunit ribosomal RNA", at positions 568 to 898 of the family's 1533-position model. The record is from RNAcentral.
CGUGUAGGCGGUCAGGUAAGUGGGAUGUGAAAUGCCCCGGACUCACCCGGGGACCGGCAUCCCAAACUGCCUGGCUUGAGUAUGGGAGAGGAUGAGGGAAUUCCUGGUGUAGCGGUGAAAUGCGUAGAUAUCAGGAGGAACACCGGUGGCGAAGGCGCUCAUCUGGCCCAAUACUGACGCUGAUGCGCGAAAGCUAGGGGAGCAAACGGGAUUAGAUACCCCGGUAGUCCUAGCCGUAAACGGUGAUCACUAGGUGUUGGAGGCAUCGACCCCUCCAGUGCCGCAGCUAACGCAUUAAGUGAUCCGCCUGGGGAGUACGGCCGCAAGGUUGAA